CUGAGUUUAAGCAUAUAAAUAAGCGGAGGAGAAGAAACUUACAAGGAUUCCCCUAGUAACGGCGAGCGAACCGGGAGCAGCCCAGCUUGAGAAUCGGGUAGUACCCCUACUCGAAUUGUAGUCUGGAGAGGCGUCCUCAGCGACGGACCGAGCCCAAGUUCCCUGGAAAGGGACGCCUGGGAGGGUGAGAGCCCCGUCCGGCCCGGACCCUGUCGCACCACGAGGCGCCGUCAACGAGUCGGGUUGUUUGGGAAUGCAGCCCAAAUCGGGCGGUAAACUCCGUCCAAGGCUAAAUACAGGCGAGAGACCGAUAGCGAACAAGUACCGCGAGGGAAAGAUGAAAAGGACUUUGAAAAGAGAGGCAAAGAGUGCUUGAAAUUG
RNAcentral lists this ribosomal RNA (381 nucleotides) under Salipiger sp. PrR004. RNAcentral's name for it is "Yangia sp. PrR004 partial 23S ribosomal RNA". It matches the Rfam family "Eukaryotic large subunit ribosomal RNA", at positions 28 to 407 of the family's 3401-position model. Lineage: Bacteria; Pseudomonadati; Pseudomonadota; Alphaproteobacteria; Rhodobacterales; Roseobacteraceae. The record is from RNAcentral.